UACGAAGGGGGCUAGCGUUGCUCGGAAUUACUGGGCGUAAAGCGCACGUAGGCGGCUCUUUAAGUCGGAGGUGAAAUCCUGGAGCUCAACUCCAGAACUGCCUUCGAUACUGAAGAGCUCGAGUCCGGGAGAGGUGAGUGGAACUGCGAGUGUAGAGGUGAAAUUCGUAGAUAUUCACAAGAACACCAGUGGCGAAGGCGGCUCACUGGCCCGGUACUCGACGCUGAGGUGCGGAAAGCGA
This 241-nucleotide ribosomal RNA is filed under the name uncultured bacterium. Its description in RNAcentral is "partial 16S ribosomal RNA". It matches the Rfam family "Bacterial small subunit ribosomal RNA", at positions 524 to 762 of the family's 1533-position model. The record is from RNAcentral.